Molecule: ribosomal RNA, 492 nt
Filed under: uncultured bacterium
Lineage: Bacteria
Description: partial 16S ribosomal RNA
Rfam family: Bacterial small subunit ribosomal RNA
Source: RNAcentral
AGUGAACGCUGGCGGUAGGCCUAACACAUGCAAGUCGAACGGCAGCACAGUAAGAGCUUGCUCUUACGGGUGGCGAGUGGCGGACGGGUGAGGAAUACAUCGGAAUCUACUUUUUCGUGGGGGAUAACGUAGGGAAACUUACGCUAAUACCGCAUACGACCUACGGGUGAAAGCAGGGGAUCUUCGGACCUUGCGCGAUUGAAUGAGCCGAUGUCGGAUUAGCUAGUUGGCGGGGUAAAGGCCCACCAAGGCGACGAUCCGUAGCUGGUCUGAGAGGAUAAUCAGCCACACUGGAACUGAGACACGGUCCAGACUCCUACGGGAGGCAGCAGUGGGGAAUAUUGGACAAUGGGCGCAAGCCUGAUCCAGCCAUACCGCGUGGGUGAAGAAGGCCUUCGGGUUGUAAAGCCCUUUUGUCGGGAAAGAAAAGCAGCAGGUUAAUACCCCGCUGUUCUGACGGUACCCAAAGAAUAAGCACCGGCUAACUUCGUG